GACGAACGCUGGCGGCGUGCCUAAUACAUGCAAGUCGAGCGAACAGAAGCAGCAGAAUUACUUCGGUAAGGACGCUGUGGAAGUUAGCGGCGGAUGGGUGAGUAACACGUGGGUAACCUACCCUUAAGACUGGGAUACCACUUGGAAACAGGUGCUAAUACCGGAUAGGAGUAUGAGCUGCAUGGCUUAUACUUUAAAGGCGGCGAAAGCUGUCACUAAAGGAUGGACCCGCGGUGCAUUAGCUAGUUGGUAAGGUAACGGCUUACCAAGGCGACGAUGCAUAGCCGAGUUGAGAGACUGAUCGGCCACUUUGGGACUGAGACACGGCCCAAACUCCUACGGGAGGCAGCAGUAGGGAAUCUUCCACAAUGGACGCAAGUCUGAUGGAGCAACGCCGCGUGAGUGAAGAAGGUUUUCGGAUCGUAAAGCUCUGUUGUUGGUGAAGAAGGAUAUAGGUAGUAACUGGCCUAUAUUUGACGGUAAUCAACCAGAAAGUCACGGCUAACUACGUGCCAGCAGCCGCGGUAAUACGUAGGUGGCAAGCGUUGUCCGGAUUUAUUGGGCGUAAAGCGAGCGCAGGCGGAGAAAUAAGUCUGAUGUGAAAGCCCACGGCUCAACCGUGGAACUGCAUCGGAAACUGUUUUUCUUGAGUGCAGAAGAGGAGAGUGGAACUCCAUGUGUAGCGGUGGAAUGCAUAGAUAUAUGGAAGAACACCAGUGGCGAAGGCGGCUCUCUGGUCUGCAACUGACGCUGAGGCUCGAAAGCAUGGGUAGCGAACAGG
RNAcentral lists this ribosomal RNA (781 nucleotides) under uncultured Lactobacillus sp. RNAcentral describes it as "bacterial SSU rRNA". It matches the Rfam family "Bacterial small subunit ribosomal RNA", at positions 28 to 776 of the family's 1533-position model. Lineage: Bacteria; Bacillati; Bacillota; Bacilli; Lactobacillales; Lactobacillaceae. The record is from RNAcentral.